CGCCCCGCACCGUCCAGGGGUGUUGGGUAUUGUAGUUUGGGGGGCUGCUGCCGCGGUGUCCUCGUCCUCCUCGGGUGGUCUUCGGCAGGAUGAAGGCUUUAAGCCGAAGUCCAGGAGGGUGCCACAAGCCGGGCAAAUAGCCUGGGAUCGUAUAAGCCCUGAAAGGUCCAGACAGCCCCUCCCCGCCUUCCUUUGUUCCUGAGACCACAUCCUUUCUCCGGACUCCACCCACUACUGGCUUCAGUAUUCAGGCUUGCUCCGCCUACUCUCACAGCGCUUGCGGGACACCUGGUCUUUGCCAUCUCAGGUUCCUGUUCUGGUUCUUCUCAUCCAUUGAAAGAGCUCCAAAGGCUUGAGGUCAUGGCCACUGAUCAGGGCCAUCCACUCUCCAGCUCGAGAUCUCCAGCCUUGUCUGGGCAAUGGAAGUACCUGCUGUCUGCAUCAGACGGGUUUUUCAACCACUGACCAAGCCGUCUGGAAACUGGUUGCUACAGUGUCUCAGAAGAAGCUGACAUACUGAGAUUCAUACUCCGAAACAAGCCCAGGGAAGUGAUAGCUGCAGAGGGCCCUUUUCAUUCCCUUCCUCCCUGCCUGGCGCCCUCUAUCUUUAAGGCAAGACUAGGAUUCUGCCUGUGCUGGCUAAUUUUUUUUUUUUUUAAAUGUCAACUUGACACAAGCUAAAGUCAUCAGAGAGGAGGAAGCCGCAGUUGAGGAAAUGCCUCCAUAAGAUCAGGCUGAAGGCAAGCCUGUAGACAUUUUCUUAAUUAGUGAUUGGUGGAGUAGGGCCCAGCCCAUUGUGGGUGGCACUAUCCCUGGGCUGCUGGUCCUGGGUUCUAUAAGAAAGCAGGCUGAGUAAGCCUUGGGAAGCAAGCCAGUGAGCAGCUCUCCUCCAUGGCCUCUGCAUCAGCUCCUGCCUCCAGGUUCCUGCCCUGUGUGAGUCCCUGUCCUGACUUCCUUCAGUGACGAGCAGUGAUGUGGAAUGGUUAGCCGAAUAAACCCUUUCCUUCCCCACUUA
Molecule: long non-coding RNA, 1015 nt
Organism: Peromyscus californicus insignis
Lineage: Eukaryota; Metazoa; Chordata; Mammalia; Rodentia; Cricetidae
Exons: 3
Source: RefSeq, a predicted model, not a curated record